This 474-nucleotide long non-coding RNA is filed under the name Mytilus galloprovincialis (Mediterranean mussel). The record is from RNAcentral. Lineage: Eukaryota; Metazoa; Mollusca; Bivalvia; Mytilida; Mytilidae.
CUUGUGUAGACAAAACGCGCGUCUUGCGUAUUAAGUUAUAAUCCUGGUACCUUUGAUAACUAUUUACACCACUGAGUCGAUGCCACUGCUGGUGGACGUUUCGUCCCCGAGAGUAUCACCAGCCCAGUAGUCAGCACAUCGGUGUUGACAUGAAUAUCAAUUAUAUGGUAAUUUUUAUAAAUUUUCUGUUACAAAAUUUUGUGUUUAUCAUUUUUGCCAUCAAAUUUCAAAUAAAAUUUGCUAAAUAUCUAAUUGGUGCAAAUAAAGCUGUAGUUAACAACGCAUUUUGUAGUAUGUUACCUAUUGUAAUUGUUGGUUUUUGGUGCCAAAGAAGAAAUUUAUGCUUCAAAUGCAUUUAUAUGAUGUUUAAAUUUACCAAAUGGUUUGGCAGGCAAAUACAAAAAUGCUCUUUCAAAAAUAGGGUGCAGUCAUGUAUUGGGAAAUCAAAAUACUUUCCCCCCAUAAAAAAAAAAC